UGUUCCUACGGGACGCAGCAGUGAGGAAUAUUGGUCAAUGGUCGGGAGACUGAACCAGCCAAGCCGCGUGAGGGAUGAAGGUACAGAGUAUCGUAAACCUCUUUUGUCAGGGAACAAAGGCGGGGACGCGUCCCCGGAUGAGUGUACCUGAAGAAAAAGCAUCGGCUAACUCCGUGCCAGCAGCCGCGGUAAUACGGAGGAUGCGAGCGUUAUCCGGAUUUAUUGGGUUUAAAGGGUGCGCAGGCGGCCUGUUAAGUCAGCGGUCCAAGCCCGGGGCUCAACCCCCUCCCCCCCGUGGAACUGGG
This 305-nucleotide ribosomal RNA is filed under the name uncultured bacterium. Its description in RNAcentral is "bacterial SSU rRNA". It matches the Rfam family "Bacterial small subunit ribosomal RNA", at positions 334 to 637 of the family's 1533-position model. The record is from RNAcentral.